Molecule: long non-coding RNA, 1466 nt
Organism: Ctenopharyngodon idella (grass carp)
Lineage: Eukaryota; Metazoa; Chordata; Actinopteri; Cypriniformes; Xenocyprididae
Exons: 2
Source: RefSeq, a predicted model, not a curated record
GGCUUCGCAAACAAGAACAAAUGUAGGGCGGGGCUCGAUUUUGUCUGUGGGGAAUUGAUUGGAUGGUUGUGGUUUGCUAUUGGUGGAUCUCAUGCGAGUGACAGGUUGCCCCGCCCUCAUCAUCAGAGAAGAGAAGAGAUGCUGCAAGAGGGAGGAGAAGAUAUUCUGAUUCGAGAUUACCAGGAACAUGAAUUUAAAACAAUAAUGAUGAUGUGCAGUGAUAAAUCAUACUGCAAUAUAUGACAUUAAAAAAAAAUUGGUUUCAUGGUGACUUUAACCCUUGUGUGUCAUAAAAACGUGUAGCUUGGGAGCACAGACUUAAGUUUGGUCUCAUUUUAAAGAACACAGAUUAUUGUUGAAGUAAAAAAAUUUUUUAAAAAGUUUAUGAAAAUGAUUUAUGAACAUUAUUUUAUGUAAAAUAUUUAUUGUAAAACACAAACUCUAAAACUGCUAGAAAAUCAAAGCCAUAAAUCUAAACAAGUUGUGUUCCAAAUUUGGGGUUGAUAUCUCACCUUCAGUAAGAUUUUGUUUGGGCGCAGUACCAAAUUUUCUCCAUUAGAUGCCAGUGGUUGGAUUUGUGAUUUGCAGUACAGUAGAGUUUUUCUCUCUCAAAUAUUACAAGCUAUACACACAUAUAAACCACACUCUGACAUCCACACCAACACACCUACACAAUUAUAGCUGCAUAAUUUAUCAAAUUGGCUCUAUAAUAUGCAGAAGCAGAAAACAAGAAUAAAGCGAGUAUUUGCUUUAUAGAAAAUUGCACCAUUUGGUAGAAAAUAAUAAAAAUGUUCAUUUCGAAGCCUUGCCAUCAGAAUGAAAGCCUGUUAACAAAGAACGUUUUAUAGUUAAAUGGCCCUGGGAUUAAACAUUGCAGUUUUAAUGGGUUUCAAUGGGGACAUUUUUGUCAUCAAGGUCCUGAGAGGAACAAUUUUGUGUUACUAGUGUAAAAUAGAUUUAUUAAAGGAAAUGGGGGUGAAAUAGUAAAAUUCCAAUAAAAAUACACACCUGUACCAAAUUUUAUGUAGUUGGCAUUAACACAGGCAAAAUGAUCAAAAAAAUUAAACUGAAAAAGACAAAAUGUCCAUAAGGUCACACAAGGGUUAAGUCCAAAUGAAUUAGACUAGAAUUAUAAAUACAGAAUAACUCCAUUCUGCUAAUUAAUACACAACAAUCCUGCACUUCCUGUGUGUGUGAAGGGCUGAGCUGGACAGUGUUCUGCGUGGGAGGUGGAGUCUGACCGCCAACUACAGAGAAAGCAGCGGGAGACUCCGAGCGACCAAUCACAGUGUGACUUUUAAUGAGACUUGGAGUGCAGGAAGUGGGUUACCAUGACAACAGCAAGGUAAAGCAGCGGAUAGAUCACUAUAGAUGCCAACUCACUGAGGCUGGCGGAGGAUAUGGACUCAAGCAGAGUUACUUGAAUGCCAUCAAAUUGUGGAAAUAAAUGGAUUUGGGCUUUCUGA